GACGAAGGUGGCGAGCGUUGUUCGGAAUUACUGGGCGUAAAGCGCACGUAGGCGGCUUUGUAAGUAAGAGGUGAAAGCCCAGAGCUCAACUCUGGAAUUGCCUUUUAGACUGCAUCGCUUGAAUCAUGGAGAGGUCAGUGGAAUUCCGAGUGUAGAGGUGAAAUUCGUAGAUAUUCGGAAGAACACCAGUGGCGAAGGCGGCUGACUGGACAUGUAUUGACGCUGAGGUGCGAAAGCGUGGGGAGCAAACAGG
This 253-nucleotide ribosomal RNA is filed under the name uncultured bacterium. Its description in RNAcentral is "partial 16S ribosomal RNA". It matches the Rfam family "Bacterial small subunit ribosomal RNA", at positions 524 to 776 of the family's 1533-position model. The record is from RNAcentral.